RNAcentral lists this unclassified non-coding RNA (329 nucleotides) under soil metagenome. RNAcentral describes it as "partial contains 5.8S ribosomal RNA, internal transcribed spacer 2, and large subunit ribosomal RNA". The stretch from base 1 to 120 matches the Rfam family "5.8S ribosomal RNA", at positions 35 to 154 of the family's 154-position model. The record is from RNAcentral.
GAUGAAGAACGUAGCGAAAUGCGAUAAGUAGUGUGAAUUGCAGAAUUCAGUGAAUCAUCGAAUCUUUGAACGCACAUUGCGCCCCUUGGUAUCCCGAGGGGCAUGCCUGUUCGAGCGUCAUUUCACCACUCAAGCCUGGCUUGGUGUUGGGCGACGUCCUCUUUGGGGACGCGCCUCGAAGCGCUCGGCGGCGUGGCACCGGCUUUAAGCGUAGCAGAAUCUUUCGCUUUGGAAGUCGGGGCCCCGUCUGCCGGAAGACCUGCUCGCAAGGUUGACCUCGGAUCAGGCAGGGAUACCCGCUGAACUUAAGCAUAUCAAUAAGCGGAGGA